GACUACCUAUGGCGAAGGCACUUGACUAGAACGGAUUCGACAAUCAGGGACGAAGGCUAGGGGAGCAAACCGGAUUAGAUACCCGAGUAGUCCUAGCAGUAAACUCUGUGAACUAGGUGUUGUGCAUACCACGGGUAUGUGCAGUAUCGAAGCGAAGGCGAUAAGUUCACCGCCUGGGAAGUACUGUCGCAAGACUGAAACUUAAAGGAAUUGGCGGGGGAGCACUACAACGGGUGCGGCGUGCGGUUUAAUCCAAUUUAACACGGAAAAUCUCACCAGAGGCGCCGGCAGGAUGACAGUCAGGCUAAAGGCCUUACUUGACGAGCCGAGAGGUAGUGCAUGGCCGUCGUCAGCUCGUGCCGUAAGGUGUCCUGUUAAGUCAGGUAACGAGCGAGACCUGCGUCUACAAUUGACAGCGACAAAUUUUUUUGGAUCGGUCACAUUGUAGGGACUGCCCGUGAAAACGGGAGGAAGGUGCAGGCAACGGUAGGUCUGUAUGCUCCGAAUCCUCUGGGCUACACGCGCGCAACAAUGAAUAUGACAAUGGGAUACUACUCCGAAAGGAGACGUUAAUCCUCUAAACAUAUUCCAAGUACAAAUUGAGGGUUGUAACUCACCCUCAUGAAGCUGGAAUCCGUAGUAAUCAGAGUUCAUCA
Molecule: ribosomal RNA, 656 nt
Filed under: uncultured euryarchaeote
Lineage: Archaea; Methanobacteriati; Methanobacteriota
Description: bacterial SSU rRNA
Rfam family: Archaeal small subunit ribosomal RNA
Source: RNAcentral